UUUGCAUUCUCACCAGUGGUGUAUGAGGGUUCCUUUUUCUCCAUAUCCUCUCCAACAUUUGUCGUUUUUUGUCUUGGUAAUUAUAGCCAUUCUCACAGAUGUAAGGUGAUAUGUGAUUGUAGUUUUGAUUUGCAUUUCCCUAAUAAUUAGUAUGGUUGAACAUCUUUUCAUGUGCCGGUUGGCUAUCCGUAUAUCUUAUUUGGAAAAAUGUCUAUUCAUAUCCUCUGCCUAGUUUUUGACUGGGUUGUUUGUUUUGUUGUUGUUGAGUUGUAUGAGUUCUUUAUGCAUUUUGGAAAUUAACCCCUUGUUGGAUGUGUGAUUUGCAAACAUUUUCUCCCAGUUGGUGGGCUGUCUUUUCAUUUUGUUCAUGGUUUCCUUUGCCUUGCAGAAGCUCUUUAGUCUGAGAUAGUCCCAUUUCUUUAUUUUUCUUUUGUUUCCCUUGCCUGAGUAGACAUGGUAUUCAAAAAGAUGCUGCUAAGACUGAUGUCAAAGAAUGUACUACCUAUAUUUUCUUCUGGGAGUUUUAUGGUUUCAGGUCUUAGAAGAAAUAGAGAAUCCGAAUAGACCAAUCACAAGUCAAGAGACUGAAACAGUAACCAAAAACCUCCCCCAAAACAAAAGUCUAGGACCAGAUGGCUUCUCUGGAGAAUUCUCUGGAACAUUCAAAGAAGAUUUAAUACCUAUCCUUCUCUAACUAUUCCAAAAAAUUGAAGGAGAUGGAACUCCUUCUAACUUAUCCUAUAAGGCCAACAUCACCCUGAUAUCAAAAUCAGACAAGAACACAAAGAAGGAAAAUUACAGGCCAAUAUCACUGAUGAACAUAGAUGAAAAAAUCCUCAACAAAAUAUUGGCAAACCGAAUACAGCAAUACAUUAAAAGGAUCAUACACCAUGAUAAGGAGUCAAGCCUGAGGAUGAAGCUAACACAGAAAGGAAGGCAGAGCAGAGACAAGUACCAAGACUAUGCUGGAGUCUUGAUCAAACAACAUAUGAAUUUCACUCUAUUUCUGGACUUUUCAAUGACACCUGCAAUAUUAUAUCCACUUUCAUGGCUGCAACCACCACAUCCAUGGGACGACUCCAAAGCAUCCAUCUCAGUCCUUGACAGACAGUUGCAGAUCUCCAGCUGACUGUCAAACACUCUUAACUGCAGAACUGCUGCCAUAAUGUGUUUAAGCUCUAACUGAGGAUCUGUAACUGACUAGCCAUGUGAACUCGGAACUGUCACGUAUCUUUCAGAACUUCAGCGUUUCAUUCGACAACAAGAAUGGUUUGAAGUUGAAUAUCUACCGUACAAGACUUUAAGGCCUAGGAGGAGCCUUGUCUAUCCAAUUAUUGACGGGACCUCUUUAGCCUAAGGUUCCUGUAGUUGUAAUGUGUGCCGUCCAAUACAGUUUAAAUUUAAAUUUAAUUAAACGUAUAUUCAAUUGAAAAUUCAUGUCAUCUGCUUCACUAGCCACAUUUAAAUGUUCAGUUGCCACUUGUGACGGUGGCUACCAUAAUGGACAAUGCUGAUAUAGAACAUUUUCAUCCCUGCAGAAUGUCUCAUUGGAUAAUGCUGUAGGUUAACCAACCACCACGUAUAAAGCCAAAAUUAUCUUCCUCUCCAUUAGCUCAAACUUUAUACUUCCUACGUCUCAUAGUAGCAUUAACACCAUUGUUAUGGACUGAAUUGUGUCCCCCACCAGAUUCAUAUGUUGAAGUCUAACCUCCCCCCAAUAUGACUGCAUUUGGAGAUAGGGACCUUAGGGAGGUGAUUAAGGUUAAAUGAAAUCAUAAGAGUGGGAGCCUAAUGCAAUAGGUCUCGUUCCUUACAAGAAGAGGAAGAGAUAUCAGAGAUCUCUUCCUCUCUGCACUUGUGCAGGGAAAGAACAUGUGAGGAGGCAGUGAGAAGGCAGCCAUCUGUAAUCCAGGAAGAAAGACUUCACCAGUAACCAACACGGAUGGCACCUUGAUCUUAGAUUUCUG
This 1967-nucleotide long non-coding RNA is filed under the name Equus caballus (horse). Its description in RNAcentral is "lncRNA (ENSECAG00000048845.1)". Lineage: Eukaryota; Metazoa; Chordata; Mammalia; Perissodactyla; Equidae. The record is from RNAcentral.